CCUCCGGGAUCUGCUGCGGGCUGAUGAGGUGGACGUGGCAGUCGACCGCGCCCGCCGUCAGGAUGAGGCCGUUCCCGGCGAGGAUCUCGGUGGACGGGCCGAUGACGAGCUCCGGCGAGACCCCGUCCAUCGUGUCCGGGUUCCCGGCCUUGCCCAGCCCGACGAUCCGCCCGUCGCGCACCCCGACGUCGGCCUUCACGACGCCCCAGUGGUCGAGCACCAGCGCGCCGGUGAUGAUCAGAUCGGCGGCACCCUCGGCCCGGGUGGCGCGCGACUGGCCCAUCGACUCGCGGAUG
RNAcentral lists this small RNA (296 nucleotides) under Actinomycetospora corticicola. Its description in RNAcentral is "5' ureB small RNA". It matches the Rfam family "5' ureB small RNA". The record is from Rfam by way of RNAcentral. Lineage: Bacteria; Bacillati; Actinomycetota; Actinomycetes; Pseudonocardiales; Pseudonocardiaceae.